Long non-coding RNA from Cucurbita moschata (crookneck pumpkin), 1260 nucleotides. RefSeq lists it as uncharacterized. NCBI's taxonomy places the organism in Eukaryota, Viridiplantae, Streptophyta, Magnoliopsida, Cucurbitales, Cucurbitaceae. The record is from RefSeq and is a predicted model, not a curated record. The transcript has 4 exons.
CAGUGACCGCCAAUGGUGAUUAAACUAUUUCUGAUGAAGAUGGUGAUGACGAUGCCCUGGAUUUGGUCCUAAAUGAGCUGGAAGCAAGGUGGUCAAAGACAGAGACCCAAUUACAAGAGUUAGGCGUUUGAUGCUCAAUGGCUAGCUUAAACAUCCUUGCAAAUUCAAAGCCUCCACUUGGAACCUUUUGCUUUAGGCAAUGGCACUCCAUUUGUUGGCACCGUAUUAAUGGUCUUUUACUAGAGAAGGGUCUGCCACUGACAAUAAUGGAAGGCUUAUAUAUUCGAAGGCUGCUCUGUUCUCUUGACGUGUACAAAUAAUAGAGACAUAAGAAAGCAUCAUUUUAUGCUUGUCCCCUUGAAAAGGACUUCCAAAGCUUUUGCAAGCAGCACAGCAGACAACCCUAAUCGCUGUCUUCCUCAGGAGUAAGUAAAGCUGAUAUUGGGCAAAAGAGAAUGUGGAAAGAAACAGCAGAACAAGAUUGAAGAAGAUCUUGCAGUUAACAUUAUGUUCAGAUGGGACUCAGUUUUCAACAAUGCCACAGUUGAUGAACAUGGAGAUGUCUGUUAAAGCUAAACAAAAGUAAAAUAAAAAAUUCGAUCUUUUCUGACGUUGCUUCCUCCAUGCGUCCAUUUGGAUGGACAAUGGACAAGUGAGUUCCAACUCAUAGUAUUAGUAGCUUUGUUGAUUAGAAUAAUAGUAUUAGUAGCUUUGUUGAUUAGAAUAAUCCAGUGAACUUUGUUAAGGAUUAUUAAGAAUGAUUCCAAGUUGGCUAAUUAAGGGGAAGAUCAUGAGUUUAUAAGUAAGGAAACAUAAUCUCCAUUGGUAUGAUGUCUUUUGGAAAAACUAAAAGCAAAGUCGCGAGAGGUUAUGUUUAAGGUAGACAACAUCAUACUAUCAUGAAAAACUUACCAUAACUCGUCGUGAACAGGAAUUUCUUGCAUUAUUGGUCAAGAAAUAAGCCUAAAAUUUUGGGUCUUUGCAUUCCUUUAAAGCUCUCUGUUCCCUGAAUAAGCCUAAAUGGAAGUCGGAACUCUGUUGAUAUUUGGUUCUGUAGCAUUUAUUUAUUUUUUUUGCCCAUGUUUGGCUAAUAGUUAUUACUUAGGUCAAUAAGAUCACUUAUAAUAAGGAAGUGUUUUUGUAGACAAUUUUUUAUUAAAUUUGGAGCUGGAUGAGUGGGAUAAGAAAAUUUAUUCUCGUUGAAGUGGUAAGUUUUUGGAAAUAUUGUUAUUUUUUAUAGAAAAAUUCAUUUUUUCUCUU